This 558-nucleotide long non-coding RNA is filed under the name Mus pahari (shrew mouse). Its description in RNAcentral is "lncRNA (MGP_PahariEiJ_G0005745.1)". Lineage: Eukaryota; Metazoa; Chordata; Mammalia; Rodentia; Muridae. The record is from RNAcentral.
GCUUUCAGCAGACUGAGCGAACACACAGGCUUCUCAGUCCACUCCCUCCAGUCAAGGGUAAAGGUGGAGGAAGAGAAGCUGAGGAGAACAAGGCUGAGGAGGGUCUGGGCACAGGAAGGUGACCGGUUCCCUCCCUCCCAACGCUGAUUUCCUGUGGGCCACAUUCCAGCACAUUGGAGGGCCAGAGCUCAGGGAACAGACCAGCAGCACCGCAAGUCUCCAAGGAAAGUUCCAGUAGUCUCCAGGGGCUGAAGGCAGGACUGGGGAAGCGGCUAGCCGGGCUGCAGAAAUCAAAUGCUCCCAGACUGCUGUCCAGCACGCAUCGCAUCUGCCUUCCUAACCAAGUUUCCUGGGCUCCGGCCACAGAUCCUGACAUCCUGCCCUCUGUGCUCUGGGAGGACCCAGGAAGGAUGCUUAGCCUUGGCUCCUUGUCUGCUGGUGGAGGGGACACACACCUUUUUCUGGACCACAGACCAAAAAGAAGACCUGAUGUCAUCCUGAGCACCCCUGCCAUGCAGAGUGUGUUCACAGACUGCCAAUGGGCUGGCUCCAGCCAGC